RNAcentral lists this unclassified non-coding RNA (2943 nucleotides) under Homalodisca vitripennis (glassy-winged sharpshooter). RNAcentral describes it as "mucin-5AC-like, transcript variant X1". Lineage: Eukaryota; Metazoa; Arthropoda; Insecta; Hemiptera; Cicadellidae. The record is from RNAcentral.
GUCGAGGUGUCAGUCGGUAUCGAACUUUGCGGGGGUGGUGUGCGCCCGGGCAUUCCUCUCACCUGACGAGACGAGAUGCAAACCCGGGCAGCUGGGCAGCCAACAUGUUGAGACCGGCAAGGCAUGGGCAACUGCCUCUCCACAUGUGCCAAGAGUCCAGAUCCACCACCUCAAGAUUGCAUAGAACUAAAAGAUGCAGCACAAGGAAAUCUUUCAACAGAUACACAGGCGCUGGGAGGGGAGAAAGUACGAGAGCUUGUACAGCAGGAGUUACAAGCUCUACAAGACCAGAUUUCUCACAGUCAAGCCGUUCUCGCCAAGCUUCAUUUCCGGUUCACCGAUGAGUCGGUGUCACUGUCCGGAACUCAGUCUGAGUUGGCGAAGGUCCACCGAACCACGCAGACAUCCAACCCGGAUACUUUACCCAAGUCUCUGGAGUGUGUGCCUACAACUGCGGGUGAGGACCGAGGGUGGCAGCAGAUCACCUCCUCUUGCCCUGCCAUUGUCAACACAGCUGUACAGACAGACGAUGAAACCACCAGCAAGUCAAACGGCACAUCAGGAGAGUACUUCCUCCCUCCCAUCAGCCCCUUGGACUCUCAGGCCAGUGAACCGGCAUCACCAAAAGAUCUCAAUGAAAUCUCUUCUAAACCUUUUGAACCUCGACCUCUUGGACACAUUGACCUUGACAUUUACCGGUCAUGCCGUAAGCUGUCAGUGCUGCCAGAGGAGGAGACAAUGGUGGAGGAAACUUCUCCUCCAACCGCAGGGAGUCGUCUCGCUCCCUCCCACUACCCUCAUCACCAGGCACACUCCUUUGAGUCCUACCUGUUGCCGAUGCCCUGUGGUGCAUCGGUCCGUAGACAACUGUCGGACCCGACUCCCAGCCCUGAGAUACACCCCGCAUCGCGUAGAAGUAGUCGUUCCACCUGUCGUCCUCUACAGCUCCAACCCGACACAAACUAUUUUCGCUUCCCUGAAGUUAAACCCCCUUCAGAGGCUAGUCCUACCACGAAAGAAGCGCAGGCUCCGAAAAGUCCCCCUUGUGUUAAAUUUCAAGACCAAACAGACUUUUCAGAAGAAGAUUAUUUCCCCAGGAUCACAUCACCAACUUACAACAUCCUUCAAGACACUGUUUCCCAGCUCAUCACCAUGUCUACAGAAUCUCUUGAUGCUCAGACUGAUCAUGUAAAUGUUGUUAAGAAGGAUUCAUUAACUAUCCCUGGCUACUAUACCUUCACUCCCGAUGGGUCCACACCUUUUAAAACACCUCCAGACAAUUCACUAAUAAGUACUCCUGGAUUCUUUACACCACAAGAAUUUUUUGAUAAGAAACUUCCUGAAUCUUCAACAUCAUCUUCCUUUCAAACUCCAUCAAGUGCCUCACCAGGUGCUAAUGGGAUUACUGCAGGAUCCAACAAAUCAACAUCAAAUUCAUCCUACUCUUACAAAACUCCUCCACUUGAAUUAAUGUCAGACGAAAUCUCGCAUCCGUCUUCUUUCAGCAGUCCUCUGUAUAUGUCUCCACUUGCCAGAAAACGAACACAGCCAUCGAACGAGAGCAACGAACAUGCCUUCACUGAGGUGCCAGAUCUGAAAAACAUUCGCACAAAUAGUAAACUUUAUGUCAAACCUUUGUCUGUGGAAUUCGACCGUAAUCGCACAAUGUUAUCCAUUUUAUUAGACGAACCGAGGGUCCAAAAUGACAAUAUCAGUGGUGAACCUGUAGAUGAAUCCACAAUGCCUUUUAUUUCAUUCACUUCACUUGACAUUCAGCGUCCUCCCGCACCACCUGACCAAGUGCCUUCAACCAGUCUAAACUCUCCUGACGCUUCUCUCAGCCCCGGUCCUGAGGGGUUAGCUCGGACUCCAUCCCGUAGACGACUACAACGUUCUCUAGUCCGCAUUAGCUCUGAAACUCCUCUAGAGCUUGUUCCUGUUGAGGCAAGCGUAACAGUCCCACCUGCAGACUUGCCUGCAGCCAACAACGACAUCCCGGUAACGGAAGACCAGAGCAAUGGUGCAGAGAAAGUUACUAAAACUGAGGAUGGGCCGAAGAUGCGGCGAACUAAUUCAGACGGGGGCUCAGGAUUACUCACCUCCGUGGGGUCUGGUGCUGUAGCCCCCACGGGACCCAUGCUCACUGCUUCCCACUCCUUCCCCUCUCUCUCAGACACUGUGCUGCGACAGCUGGGUGCUCUAAUGGAGGAAGUCAAGCAGCAGAAAGAGGAAAACCAAAGUUCAGAAAAAGACAUAGAGAAUAAGUUUACAUCACUGAUGUUAGCGUUCAAAACAGACAAGCUGACACUGGACCAGCGUCUGGAGCUGCAGCGGCGUCUGCGAGACCAGGCAGAGUCCAAUAUGGCCGGAGAACUUAACAAGCUGAAGGCUGCUGUCCAGCUGCUCAGUCCGCUCUGCACAGACUCGGAGAAGAUUGAGCUGCUAGAGAAGGUUAGCGAACAGGUUGAUGCUCUCCACAAGUCCACCACCCGAGUCUCUACCUCUGCAGAGAUGUACGGAGCAGUACAACAAGAGAACCGGUUGUCCAAGGCUGUGGACAUCAUCCUGAGACAUGUGGAGAACCUGAAGCAAGCAUAUGACAAAGAGAAGACUGAUCACGAGGAGACCAGGAAAAUUAUCACAGACAACAAAUCUCCAUCAAAUGCAGUACUUAAACUGCAAAACUCGAAGCGCAGAGCGAGCAUAGCGACCCUAACUCGAGCUCAAGCCUCGCCAGACCUUAGCCGCAGCCCUGCCCUGCCAGGGCUUCAUGCUAAAAAGAGGCUCUCAAUGCCUUGAGGAGGGCCGGGGACUGAGUCGAGUGCGGUUGGGCUCACUGCCUCGCAGGCUGUCCAACACCAUUCUAGAGGCGGACCCAGAGGAUUCCACGACCAAGGACCUAAUCAACAACACUGCAGGUGCUAGUCAACCACGGGAGUUAGU